This 557-nucleotide long non-coding RNA is filed under the name Homo sapiens (human). Its description in RNAcentral is "non-protein coding lnc-RHOXF1-3:11". Lineage: Eukaryota; Metazoa; Chordata; Mammalia; Primates; Hominidae. The record is from RNAcentral.
GCAUUCUCAAGAGCGGCUGACUGCGCCGUGGACCAUCACUUUCGCUUCUGCCUGCUCUUGCGCCUAUUGCGGCAACUACUCACGCUCCUACGGGACGAGGAGAGGGAGGUGAAUCCGUGGCAGAGAAGUUCCAGGGACCAAAUCUCAAAACAAACAAAGCACCCUCUGGAAUUCUCCCCCACCGGGAGACUGCCUCAAAACAGCAAUUAAUUAACAACCCACUUCUGUCCACGAAGGCACUGACCAGACCAUCAGACCACAGCAUCACUUAAGUGUUGCUGGGGAUCUGCUCUGUUUAGACUUGGCUGCCGGUGGCACCAUUUUGGCGUUUAACACAUUUGUAUAUGUGGCACCAUUGGGGCUUUGGCACCAUUUGGACUUAGCUGCCUGUGGAGCUGUUUGGAACUGAGGGUGCCCUGCCCUUCCAGCCUGGUGCCUUGCCCCUUGAGGCAUAAUAUUUCUGAAAACUGUCCAAAGGACCUGCAUAUUGUUAAGAACAGCUGCAAAAUGUACCAGAGAGAAAGAUCAGGGCCUGCCGCACUACCACGGCAUUCUGC